UGUGGUUCUGAGAAAUCUUAAUAGGCAA
This 28-nucleotide non-coding RNA is filed under the name Rattus norvegicus (Norway rat). Lineage: Eukaryota; Metazoa; Chordata; Mammalia; Rodentia; Muridae. The record is from RNAcentral.